RNAcentral lists this non-coding RNA (25 nucleotides) under Cricetulus griseus (Chinese hamster). Lineage: Eukaryota; Metazoa; Chordata; Mammalia; Rodentia; Cricetidae. The record is from RNAcentral.
AGAACGGAAGAAACUGAGACUCCUA